UAGAUAGAUCCUUCGACCUUU
RNAcentral lists this non-coding RNA (21 nucleotides) under Caenorhabditis elegans. The record is from RNAcentral. Lineage: Eukaryota; Metazoa; Nematoda; Chromadorea; Rhabditida; Rhabditidae.